RNAcentral lists this ribosomal RNA (253 nucleotides) under uncultured bacterium. RNAcentral's name for it is "partial 16S ribosomal RNA". It matches the Rfam family "Archaeal small subunit ribosomal RNA", at positions 474 to 727 of the family's 1478-position model. The record is from RNAcentral.
UACCAGCACCCCGAGUGGUCGGGACGAUUAUUGGGCCUAAAGCAUCCGUAGCCGGUUCUGCAAGUCCCCCGUUAAAUCCAGCUGCUCAACAGAUGGGCCGCGGAGGAUACUACAGAGCUAGGAGGCAGGAGAGGCAAGCGGUACUCAGUGGGUAGGGGUAAAAUCCGUUGAUCCAUUGAAGACCACCAGUGGCGAAGGCGGCUUGCCAGAAUGCGCUCGACGGUGAGGGAUGAAAGCUGGGGGAGCAAACGGG